This 107-nucleotide ribosomal RNA is filed under the name Bifidobacterium longum subsp. longum. Lineage: Bacteria; Bacillati; Actinomycetota; Actinomycetes; Bifidobacteriales; Bifidobacteriaceae. The record is from RNAcentral. RNAcentral also lists the same sequence under 2 other names.
AUGGCCCAGGUGAGACGCCCGGUCCCAUUCCGAACCCGGAAGCUAAGGCCUGGCACGGCGAUGGUACUGCACCCGACAGGGUGUGGGAGAGUAGCACGCCGCCGCAC